Molecule: ribosomal RNA, 994 nt
Filed under: Metarhizium megapomponiae
Lineage: Eukaryota; Fungi; Ascomycota; Sordariomycetes; Hypocreales; Clavicipitaceae
Description: SSU rRNA
Rfam family: Eukaryotic small subunit ribosomal RNA
Source: RNAcentral
UUAUAUAAGUUAUCGUUUAUUUGAUAGUACCUUACUACUUGGAUAACCGUGGUAAUUCUAGAGCUAAUACAUGCUGAAAAUCCCGACUUCGGAAGGGAUGUAUUUAUUAGAUUAAAAACCAAUGCCCUCUGGGCUCUCUGGUGAUUCAUAAUAACUUCUCGAAUCGCAUGGCCUUGCGCCGGCGAUGGUUCAUUCAAAUUUCUUCCCUAUCAACUUUCGAUGUUUGGGUAGUGGCCAAACAUGGUUGCAACGGGUAACGGAGGGUUAGGGCUCGACCCCGGAGAAGGAGCCUGAGAAACGGCUACUACAUCCAAGGAAGGCAGCAGGCGCGCAAAUUACCCAAUCCCGAUUCGGGGAGGUAGUGACAAUAAAUACUGAUACAGGGCUCUUUUGGGUCUUGUAAUUGGAAUGAGUACAAUUUAAAUCCCUUAACGAGGAACAAUUGGAGGGCAAGUCUGGUGCCAGCAGCCGCGGUAAUUCCAGCUCCAAUAGCGUAUAUUAAAGUUGUUGUGGUUAAAAAGCUCGUAGUUGAACCUUGGGCCUGGCUGGCCGGUCCGCCUCACCGCGUGUACUGGUCCGGCCGGGUCUUUCCCUCUGUGGAACCCCAUGCCCUUCACUGGGUGUGGCGGGGAAACAGGACUUUUACUUUGAAAAAAUUAGAGUGCUCCAGGCAGGCCUAUGCUCGAAUACAUUAGCAUGGAAUAAUGAAAUAGGACGUGCGGUUCUAUUUUGUUGGUUUCUAGGACCGCCGUAAUGAUUAAUAGGGACAGUCGGGGGCAUCAGUAUUCAAUUGUCAGAGGUGAAAUUCUUGGAUUUAUUGAAGACUAACUACUGCGAAAGCAUUUGCCAAGGAUGUUUUCAUUAAUCAGGAACGAAAGUUAGGGGAUCGAAGACGAUCAGAUACCGUCGUAGUCUUAACCAUAAACUAUGCCGACUAGGGAUCGGACGAUGUUAUUUUUUGACUCGUUCGGCACCUUACGAGAAAUCAAAGUGC